CCAAUAGCGUAUAUUAAAGUUGUUGCAGUUAAAAAGCUCGUAGUUGAAUUUCGGGAUCAAAUUGUCGGUCGUGCCUCGGUACGCACUGGUAUUAUUGGUUCCUACCUUCUGAAGAACCGCGAUGUCAUUAAUUUGGUGUCGUGGGGAAUCAGGACUGUUACUUUGAAAAAAUUAGAGUGUUUAAAGCAGGCUCACGCUUGAAUACAUUAGCAUGGAAUAAUGAAAUAGGACGUUUGAUUCUAUUUUGUUGGUUUCUAGGAUCGACGUAAUGAUUAAUAGGGAUAGUUGGGGGCAUUAGUAUUCAAUUGUCAGAGGUGAAAUUCUUGGAUUUAUUGAAGACUAACUACUGCGAAAGCAUUUGCCAAGGAUGUUUUCAUUAAUCAAGAACGAAAGUUAGGGGAUCGAAGACGAUCAGAUACCGUCGUAGUCUUAACCAUAAACUAUGCCGACUAGGGAUCGGAUGAUGUUAAUUUUUUAAUGACUCAUUCGGCGCCUUACG
This 499-nucleotide unclassified non-coding RNA is filed under the name uncultured Glomus. Its description in RNAcentral is "SSU rRNA". It matches the Rfam family "Eukaryotic small subunit ribosomal RNA", at positions 591 to 1092 of the family's 1831-position model. The record is from RNAcentral. Lineage: Eukaryota; Fungi; Glomeromycota; Glomeromycetes; Glomerales; Glomeraceae.